RNAcentral lists this ribosomal RNA (462 nucleotides) under uncultured Fusibacter sp. RNAcentral's name for it is "bacterial SSU rRNA". It matches the Rfam family "Bacterial small subunit ribosomal RNA", at positions 920 to 1382 of the family's 1533-position model. The record is from RNAcentral. Lineage: Bacteria; Bacillati; Bacillota; Clostridia; Eubacteriales; Fusibacteraceae.
CCCGCACAAGCGGAGGAGCAUGUGGUUUAAUUCGAUGAUACGCGAGGAACCUUACCUGGGCUCGAACGUAAGAUGACUGUAGGUGAAAGCUUACAUCUCUUCGGAGCAUUUUACGAGGUGGUGCAUGGUUGUCGUCAGCUCGUGUCGUGAGAUGUUGGGUUAAGUCCCGCAACGAGCGCAACCCUUGUGUUUAGUUGCAAACAGGUCAAGCUGUGCACUCUAGACAGACUGCCGUGGACAACACGGAGGAAGGUGGGGAUGACGUCAAAUCAUCAUGCCCCUUAUGAUCUGGGCUACACACGUGCUACAAUGGCCGGUACAACGGGCAGCGAAGGAGCGAUCCGGAGCGAAUCCUAAAAAGCCGGUCCCAGUUCGGAUUGCAGGCUGAAACUCGCCUACAUGAAGUUGGAGUUGCUAGUAAUCGCGAAUCAGAAUGUCGCGGUGAAUGCGUUCCCGGGUCUU